Molecule: small nuclear RNA, 159 nt
Filed under: Prolemur simus (greater bamboo lemur)
Lineage: Eukaryota; Metazoa; Chordata; Mammalia; Primates; Lemuridae
Description: U1 spliceosomal RNA (ENSPSMG00000004898.1)
Rfam family: U1 spliceosomal RNA
About the family: U1 is a small nuclear RNA (snRNA) component of the spliceosome (involved in pre-mRNA splicing). Its 5' end forms complementary base pairs with the 5' splice junction, thus defining the 5' donor site of an intron.
Source: RNAcentral
AUACUUGCCUAGCAGGGGAGAUACUGUGAUCAUAAAUGUGAUUUUCCCAGGGAAAGGCUUAUCCAUUGUACUCCAGAUGGGCUAACCCCUGUGAUUCCCCGGUAGGUAUGGUAUUUUUCUCAAAUCAAGACUACUUUUGGUCAGUAAUAAUGAUUUUUA